CUCUGUUGCGUGUUGUUACACCUGGCCAACCUAGCUGGGACAAUGGCCUACUCAUGGCGAUCCACGUGGCAUUUAUGCCGAGGUGGGCUACAUCCGAACUCUUUCGAGCCGAAGUCCAUCUGCCGAGGCUCCUUUUUGUCCGAGGCCCAUUGACCAAGGCCUACGAACCGAAGCCAGGCUGCUGAAACCUAUUGAGAGCAGCUGAGGCCCUCAAGUGGAAGUAUCAUGACAUGGCCGAAACCCCAAAGAUGAUGCGCGAGCCUCUGAACCACAAGGAAACAUCCUCCAUGGUCACUUCUUCCAAGAGAUCGCCUGCACAGAUCUUAUUUGAAUGAUUGAUGGAACGUUUGUCAUAAGCAUAAAAGUCAAGUCUUGUCACUAGCAUGGAGGCCCUGCACAAGCAAUAAAUGCGUCGCAAGCUAGCAAGUCAAGCCUCAUACCUACGAAAAGAUAUUUGAACUAAAGAGAUGAGGCCACGAGCCACUUCAUCCAAGGGCUCACAUUUCAUAUGUACUACUAUAAAUACUUCUCUUGUGUAAUAUCAAAAGGCUAAUACAAGAAUCAAUACAAAGAACUCCAUUUACUAAACUCUCUCUCAUUUUACUUGCAAUACACAAAUCGAGUUUAUAUACAUUUACAUAUACAUUUAUGAACACCGGUUGGUAAUUAUUGUACAAUCGGAUUACGAACAACCCGCCGGAUUCCGAACGUCACCGUCCCGCGUCGUUGGGCUACUUCCACGCCCUUUGAACCGCUCAUUUUAGACCGUCCACGUGUCUUAGCGUGUUGGACAUUCGCCCACGCAAGCGCGAGUGGGACCGACAUCUGUUGGCGCACUUUUUGGGGUCAACAGAUUGGCGCCGUCUGUGGGAAACCAUACCAUAACCACGAGCAACGUUGUGGUAAAAGUUUACUGAAAAACAUUUGGGCAACCCCCCUUGAAAAAGGAUUUGUUCUUGAAAAAGAACAGGAGGAACC
This 978-nucleotide long non-coding RNA is filed under the name Olea europaea subsp. europaea. Lineage: Eukaryota; Viridiplantae; Streptophyta; Magnoliopsida; Lamiales; Oleaceae. The record is from RNAcentral.